Molecule: ribosomal RNA, 301 nt
Filed under: uncultured bacterium
Lineage: Bacteria
Description: partial 16S ribosomal RNA
Rfam family: Bacterial small subunit ribosomal RNA
Source: RNAcentral
CAGCAGCCGCGGUAACACGUAGGUGGCGAGCGUUGUCCGGAAUUAUUGGGCGUAAAGGGAGCGCAGGCGGACAUAUAAGUCCAUCCUAAAAGUGCGGGGCUCAACCCCGUGAGGGGAUGGAAACUGUAUGCCUUGAGUGCAGGAGAGGAAAGCGGAAUUCCCAGUGUAGCGGUGAAAUGCGUAGAUAUUGGGAGGAACACCAGUGGCGAAGGCGGCUUUCUGGACGACAACUGACGUUGAGGCUCGAAGGCGUGGGUAGCAAACAGGAUUAGAUACCCCCGUAGUCCCUGUCUCUUAUACC